This 727-nucleotide ribosomal RNA is filed under the name Streptococcus pneumoniae. RNAcentral's name for it is "bacterial SSU rRNA". It matches the Rfam family "Bacterial small subunit ribosomal RNA", at positions 42 to 754 of the family's 1533-position model. Lineage: Bacteria; Bacillati; Bacillota; Bacilli; Lactobacillales; Streptococcaceae. The record is from RNAcentral.
GCGUGCCUAAUACAUGCAAGUAGAACGCUGAAGGAGGAGCUUGCUUCUCUGGAUGAGUUGCGAACGGGUGAGUAACGCGUAGGUAACCUGCCUGGUAGCGGGGGAUAACUAUUGGAAACGAUAGCUAAUACCGCAUAAGAGUAGAUGUUGCAUGACAUUUGCUUAAAAGGUGCACUUGCAUCACUACCAGAUGGACCUGCGUUGUAUUAGCUAGUUGGUGGGGUAACGGCUCACCAAGGCGACGAUACAUAGCCGACCUGAGAGGGUGAUCGGCCACACUGGGACUGAGACACGGCCCAGACUCCUACGGGAGGCAGCAGUAGGGAAUCUUCGGCAAUGGACGGAAGUCUGACCGAGCAACGCCGCGUGAGUGAAGAAGGUUUUCGGAUCGUAAAGCUCUGUUGUAAGAGAAGAACGAGUGUGAGAGUGGAAAGUUCACACUGUGACGGUAUCUUACCAGAAAGGGACGGCUAACUACGUGCCAGCAGCCGCGGUAAUACGUAGGUCCCGAGCGUUGUCCGGAUUUAUUGGGCGUAAAGCGAGCGCAGGCGGUUAGAUAAGUCUGAAGUUAAAGGCUGUGGCUUAACCAUAGUAGGCUUUGGAAACUGUUUAACUUGAGUGCAAGAGGGGAGAGUGGAAUUCCAUGUGUAGCGGUGAAAUGCGUAGAUAUAUGGAGGAACACCGGUGGCGAAAGCGGCUCUCUGGCUUGUAACUGACGCUGAGGCUC